RNAcentral lists this ribosomal RNA (327 nucleotides) under Triticum aestivum (bread wheat). RNAcentral's name for it is "partial small subunit ribosomal RNA". The record is from RNAcentral. Lineage: Eukaryota; Viridiplantae; Streptophyta; Magnoliopsida; Poales; Poaceae.
AUGGGUAUGCUGGCGCGUCAAGGCUGGAGAUUAAUUCAGGAGUCUGAUUCUUUGUGUGGGAGAGUGUUGCGGGCAAAAUAUUUCCCUGAUGGCAAUAUCUUGGGGGGCACCGUGAAGCCAGGAAUCUCUUACACACGGCGCAGCAUCUUGAGGGGUGUUGCCCUCCUAAAGGAGGGUUUGGUUUGGAGAGUGGGGGAUGGGUCAAAGAUCAAAGUCUGGGAAGACCCAUGGCUGCCUGAAGGGGAUACUCGGAGGCCACGCGCUGUGAGGGGCUCCUCUGUUGUUGAGAUGGUGGCUGAUCUUAUCAACCCUACUACAGGGGCCUGA